RNAcentral lists this ribosomal RNA (913 nucleotides) under uncultured marine archaeon. Its description in RNAcentral is "bacterial SSU rRNA". It matches the Rfam family "Archaeal small subunit ribosomal RNA", at positions 1 to 921 of the family's 1478-position model. The record is from RNAcentral.
UUCCGGUUGAUCCUGCCGGACCUGACUGCUAUCGGAUUGAUACUAAGCCAUGCGAGUCUUUGCAGUAAUGCAAGGCAUACGGCUCAGUAACACGUAGUCAACUUACCCUAUGGACGAGGAUAAUCUCGGGAAACUGAGCAUAAUACUCGAUAGAUCAUAAUGCCUGGAAUGGUUUAUGGUUGAAAUGAUUCGUCGCCAUAGGAUGGGACUGCGGCCUAUCAGCUUGUUGGUGAGGUAAUGGCCCACCAAGGCGAUUACAGGUACGGGCUCUGAGAGGAGAAGCCCGGAGAUGGGUACUGAGACAAGGACCCAGGCCCUAUGGGGCGCAGCAGGCGAGAAAACUUUGCAAUGUGCGAAAGCACGACAAGGUUAAUCCGAGUGAUUUCUGCUAAAGAAAUCUUUUGCAAGUCAUAAAACCACUAGUGAAUAAGGGGUGGGCAAGUUCUGGUGUCAGCCGCCGCGGUAAAACCAGCACCUCAAGUGGUCAGGAGGAUUAUUGGGCCUAAAGCAUCCGUAGCCGGCUCUGUAAGUUUUCGGUUAAAUCCAUGUGCUCAACGCAUGGGCUGCCGAAAAUACUGCAUAGCUAGGGAGUGGGAGAGGUAGACGGUACUCAGUAGGAAGGGGUAAAAUCCUUUGAUCUAUUGAUGACCACCUGUGGCGAAGGCGGUCUACCAGAACACGUUCGACGGUGAGGGAUGAAAGCUGGGGGAGCAAACCGGAUUAGAUACCCGGGUAGUCCCAGCUGUAAACGAUGCAGACUCGAUGAUGCAUUGGCAUAUAGCCAGUGCAGUGUCGCAGGGAAGCCGUUAAGUCUGCCGCCUGGGAAGUACGUACGCAAGUAUGAAACUUAAAGGAAUUGGCGGGGGAGCACCACAAGGGGUGAAGCCUGCGGUUCAAUUGGAUUCAACGCCGG